RNAcentral lists this ribosomal RNA (467 nucleotides) under uncultured bacterium. RNAcentral describes it as "partial 16S ribosomal RNA". It matches the Rfam family "Bacterial small subunit ribosomal RNA", at positions 28 to 506 of the family's 1533-position model. The record is from RNAcentral.
GACGAACGCUGGCGGCGUGCUUAACACAUGCAAGUCGAACGGAAAGGCCCUGCUUUUGUGGGGUGCUCGAGUGGCGAACGGGUGAGUAACACGUGAGUAACCUGCCCUUGACUUUGGGAUAACUUCAGGAAACUGGGGCUAAUACCGGAUAGGAGCUCCUGCUGCAUGGUGGGGGUUGGAAAGUUUCGGCGGUUGGGGAUGGACUCGCGGCUUAUCAGCUUGUUGGUGGGGUAGUGGCUUACCAAGGCUUUGACGGGUAGCCGGCCUGAGAGGGUGACCGGCCAAAUUGGGACUGAGAUCCGGCCCAGACCCCUACGGGGGGAAGCAGUGGGGAAUAUUGCACAGGGGGCGGAAGCCUGAUGCAGCAACGCCGCGGGGGGGAGGACGGCCUUCGGGUUGUAAACCGCUUUCGCCUGUGACGAAGCGUGGGUGACGGUAAUGGGUAAAGAAGCACCGGCUAACUACGU